Eleginops maclovinus (Patagonian blennie) is the source of this 1270-nucleotide long non-coding RNA. RefSeq lists it as uncharacterized. The record is from RefSeq and is a predicted model, not a curated record. Lineage: Eukaryota; Metazoa; Chordata; Actinopteri; Perciformes; Eleginopidae. The transcript has 2 exons.
AUCUCCUCCUCUCCACAGUCAGACCUGGGAAAAUAAAAUAGAGGUCAUAUUUGUGUUUCAUUAAGAUUAGGAAAACUCUGUCCCAAUCAUUUUAAUACAACGGAAUUUUGUCAAUAUACAAUUAUUUUUCUUAUUCGAUUACGGUGAACUACGUCGUGAAUCUGUUACACACAAACACAUUGCCUCGGUACAUGCACAGACACUGAUUUCUUAUAGGAAAACUUUUUUUUAAACCAUGAUCCUGUUUGUUUACUUUAUUUUAAAAGAUGUUCUUAGACUUAAUAUAGCUUAUGUAUCAUAGUAGAGCUCAAUUCUCUGUGAUUAGUUCACCUCUGUGCUGUUAUGUGUUUUAAGAAGGUAAAACAUUUUCAACCAAAGUGCUUGAGCAACAAUAGAGAGACAUUCGACAACUAUUUGGGUUCCAAGGCAAAUAUUACUGAAAGAUGUUUUGUAUUUUACUGCAGCAGAGCUUCUGUGCAGUGUAGCUACCUACCUGUCUCCAUAUUAUUGCUCACGUAAGAAUUUGUAGUUAGUGUUUUAUGACCUUACAGUGAUUUUGUUUUGCAAAUUAUGCUUCAUUUGGAUAGCCCUUGCUGUCCUCAAAGUUUAAAGAAAGUAACUCAGCAUCCAUCUGGCUAAACAUAUUGUUGAUAGCACUGAACAGCUGACUGUGGCUGGGAGCUGCUCUGUCAGUACAAUGAGUCUAAUGUUUGGACAUUUUAGUGUGGCUUUCAGGUGUUUCAGUUCUGCUUCAUUUAAGCUUUAUUUAAAUUGUGGGUUACUUUUUUUGUGCUGAGAUCAUGUAGACGUCCAGCUGGAUGGAGUGGGUGGAAGUUUCUGAAUAUGAGUUUCAGCGGAGGGUGGCCUACAUUGAAUGGCAUAGAGCUGGUGAUUAGGAUGAUGAGGAAAACUAGCUAGAAGAUAAUGACAGCUGUAGUGUAGCAUUAGUGUAAUGAGUUUGAUUCAAGUAUAUAAAUCAUUGAAGAGCCUCUUAGUAGUUUAACAGUAUAUGUUUUAUAUCGCUAGUUGCUUAUUCAUUUGAUGUGAGAUGUCUUCAUUUUAUCAUUUAAAACACACACCUCUUUUCUUUUCAUUCAUUAUUUUGUCACAAGCUACAAAACAAACCUUGUUCUGCUCAGAGAUGUAUUCAUGUCAAACAAUGUUCCUUAUCAUUUUGUUUUCAUUUGUCUUUAUUUCUUUUUGGUUGUUUUAUCCUUCUGUCAUUCAUUGCUCUCUUGUUCUCAAUAAAAUGUUCACCUCACAACUUCUA